Acanthopagrus latus (yellowfin seabream) is the source of this 685-nucleotide long non-coding RNA. RefSeq lists it as uncharacterized. The transcript is spliced from 3 exons. The record is from RefSeq and is a predicted model, not a curated record. NCBI's taxonomy places the organism in Eukaryota, Metazoa, Chordata, Actinopteri, Spariformes, Sparidae.
CCCAUUUGUCUUGAAGAUUCUACUAAAUAGUUUCCAUAACUCUUCCCACCCAGAAGAUCAAAGAACCAGAUUCUUCGUGGCUGUAUUUGUCAAUGCUUUGAUCACACGAGUUAGUUGGUCUAACUUCCAGUUAUGUUUCAUGCUGCAGUAGAUUAAAAGAUGAGUAAAAUAAAUCCCUCAUGCUUUAGCAUAAGGGAUACAGCAGUAAGAGAGGGAAAACAGCACAUCUUAAAGCUGCAUAAUGUAUAACUCAUGUCAAGGUCCUUCUUCCCGGGGAGAUUAUUACAUCUGAACUGUGUUCAAACGUUUGCCUCCUUUGAACAUCAGGCUGGAUUAAUUAGUAUUUCCUCAUCCGUUCUGAGGUUUGUCUCUACACGUUUCUGAUGGAAACAUCUGCCUCUUCGUCUUUUAAAUGCUCCACCAUCUCUCCACUAAGUGUGUCUGCCUGCUGUUUGGUGCUGACAGGUUAGCAUACAGUGGGUUUUUAGAGCAUUUUAGUUGAAAACAUCUGCCUGCUGAGCCUGAAAAAUGACACUAUCCGAAUGCAACAAACCACAGAGAAUCAGACACCUCACCAUCAGAGUUGUGUGGUUGAGGUUCCAAGUGUAGGUGGUCAGGCUCCUGUUCACAGGGUCCACGAUGGAGUCCUCAAUGAUGUAUACGGAGCGAGACAUGCCGGUGGGGA